Oncorhynchus tshawytscha (Chinook salmon) is the source of this 1076-nucleotide long non-coding RNA. Lineage: Eukaryota; Metazoa; Chordata; Actinopteri; Salmoniformes; Salmonidae. The record is from Ensembl.
GUGGUUAGAGCAGGUAGCCUAGUGGUUAGAGAAGGUAGCCUAGUGGUUAGAGAAGGUAGCCUAGUGAUUAGAGCAGGUAGCCUAGUGGUUAGAGAAGGUAGCCUAGUGGUUAGAGCAGGUAGCCUAGUGGUUAGAGAAGGUAGCCUAGUGGUUAGAGCAGGUAGCCUAGUGGUUAGAGCAGGUAGCCUAGUGGUUAGAGAAGGUAGCCUUGUGGUUAGAGCAGGUAGCCUAGUGGUUAGAGAAGGUAGCCUAGUGGUUAGAGAAGGUAGCCUAGUGGUUAGAGCAGGUAGCCUAGUGGUUAGAGAAGGUAGCCUAGUGGUUAGAGCAGGUAGCCUAGUGGUUAGAGCAGGUAGCCUAGUGGUUAGAGCCAGGUAGCCUAGUGGUUAGAGCAGGUAGCCUAGUGGUUAGUGGUUAGAGCAGGUAGCCUAGUGGUUAGAGAAGGUAGCCUAGUGGUUAGAGCAGGUAGCCUAGUGGUUAGAGCAGGUAGCCUAGUGGUUAGAGCAGGUAGCCUAGUGGUUAGAGAAGGUAGCCUAGUGGUUAGAGAAGGUAGCCUAGUGGUUAGAGCAGGUAGCCUAGUGAUUAGAGCAGGUAGCCUAGUGGUUAGAGAAGGUAGCCUAGUGGUUAGAGCAGGUAGCCUAGUGGUUAGAGCAGGUAGCCUAGUGGUUAGAGAAGGUAGCCUAGUGGUUAGAGCAGGUAGCCUAGUGGUUAGAGCAGGUAGCCUAGUGGUUAGAGAAGGUAGCCUAGUGGUUAGAGCAGGUAGCCUAGUGGUUAGAGCAGGUAGCCUAGUGGUUAGAGAAGGUAGCCUAGUAGUUAGAGCAGGUAGCCUAGUAGUUAGAGCAGGUAGCCUAGUGGUUAGAGCAGGUAGCCUAGUGGUUAGAGAAGGUAGCCUAGUAGUUAGAGCAGGUAGCCUAGUGGUUAGAGCUAGGUGGCCUAGUGGUUAGAUCAGGUGGCCUAGUGGUUAGAGCAGGUAGCCUAGUGGUUAGAGCAGGUAGCCUAGUGGUUAGAUCAGGUGGCCUAGUGGUUAGAGCGUUGGGCCAGUUACCGAAAGGCUGCUGCAUCGAAUCCCCAAGCUGACA